UGAGGAGGAGCCAAUGCAAAACUCAGAUGUCUUCCAUCUCUACUUAUCUGACUGCAGAGAGGAUGACAGAGAACAGUGGACACACAGUUUAACAUGAUGGACUAUAGGACAGGACUGCUGCUUUUAACUAUCUGCUGGGCAGGUGUUGAUGGUCAGACUCUGACAGAAUCUGAACCAGCGAUUAAAAGGCCUGGAGAAUCUCACAGAUUGACCUGUACAGCCUCUGGAUUCACAUUCAGUGACUAUGGGAUGGUCUGGAUAAGACAGGCUCCUGGAAAAGGACUGGAGUGGAUUGCUUAUAUUAGUGGUGAUAGCUACAUCCACUACUCUCAGUCAGUCAAGUGCUGGUUUACUAUCUCCAGAGACGACAGCAGACAGCAGCUGUAUCUGCAGAUGAACAGUCUGAAGACUGAAGAUUCUGCUGUUUAUUAUUGUGCUCAAUAG
Larimichthys crocea (large yellow croaker) is the source of this 444-nucleotide non-coding RNA. The record is from the annotation of a RefSeq genome assembly. NCBI's taxonomy places the organism in Eukaryota, Metazoa, Chordata, Actinopteri, Sciaenidae.